This 1980-nucleotide unclassified non-coding RNA is filed under the name Hevea brasiliensis (rubber tree). The record is from RNAcentral. Lineage: Eukaryota; Viridiplantae; Streptophyta; Magnoliopsida; Malpighiales; Euphorbiaceae.
UCUCUUAUCUGGAAGGAGAAUGCAAAAAAGCAAUGCAAAAGCACCCAUCAAAACACUGAGUUAUUAUACAAAGUGUAAACAAGACACCAAUACAAUGCUAUAUUCUCCAAACAUGACACAUCGUUCCAUUAUGCAUAUUGAUGAUAUGAAGGCUAAGUAUCAAACUAUCGGCCACUAAGCUUUGCUAUCAAUGGUCAUUGGCACUGCCUCCUGCUUCCCUGCUGAAUUAGCAGCCUGCUCCAGCUUGUUCAUUUUUGCAAAAAUAUUGCCAUAGAACUGGGCAUCUCUCUUGUUGUAUUCCCUCACUUUCUCUUUCAACUGUCUGUAUUCGAUCUUCACUUCCCUGUUAUCUGGGUCUAUCUCAAGGGCUUUUUUGAUAUCCUGCUCAGCAAGAUCAAGAUCAACAAGUUGAAUAUAUGCCUGGGCCCUUCUAUAGAGAGCUUUCACGUUCCGACUGUCAAGUUCCAACACCUUUGUACAGAGCUUCUCUGCUUGCUUGUAAUCUUUGACUUUCAAUUUGCACGCAGCAUUGUUGAGGUUGCACGAAAUCUUCAGUGCCUUGCUCUGUUGCUUCUCUUCAUCGCUGAAAGAAGUAUCGUAUUCAAUGUAGCGCACAGCCUUUUCAUAUCUCCUUGAUGCUCUAUCAUAUUUUCCAGCUUUGAACAAAAUAUUCCCUUCUUCCUUCUUUUUACCUGCUGCUUCUAUUUUCUCUUCUGCUGUGUUCAGAUCCCAAGAUUCUUUUUCUUUGACGAAAGAAACUAGCUCAACUUCAUAAUAUACAGUUGAGUUUGCAGGAACUACAGCUAGAUCUUGGGGUGAAUCAGAAGAUCCAAAAGCAUAUUGUGGAUGGAUCGUCACCAAGGCAAUUUCUCCCUUCUUCAUCUUUCUCACAGCCAAAUCAAGUCCUUCAAUGACUUGUUCUUCGUCAGUUUUGAACUCAAAUGGCUUCUCAUCAUCACCCUUUUUCGUAAAAAUCGUCCCAUCGGCCAGUUUACCGGUUAGUUUCACUUGCACCACUGCUCCCUCAUUUGGCUGUUCAUAUCCUUCUCCCUCCUUCUGGGUCUUCUUCAGGACCUUCUUAUCCUUAGUAACCUCUGUAACAGUUUUCCAAGAAACCAAUUGAAGGGUUAUCUGAAGUGUGGCAUUUGGAGGCACAGCACCUUCUUCUCCAGCUCCAGGCCUACCAGACUCCCCAAAUGCAUAUUGUGGCCUCACAGUCAACAAAGCUUUCUCUCCCUUCUUCAUGGUCUUCACGGACGUUGCCAAGGCAGGACAGAAGUACCCUUUUUCAACAGUGAAUUCGGCCCCAUCAGACUUUGAGAUCAGUGUACCAUCUUCAAGACGAGCCUCAUAAAGAACCGAGACUUCGUCCAAAUCCUUCGGUUUGUCCCAGCCGUCUCCUUUAACAAGGAUCUUUUUCAAGAUUCCUCCAUCUUGGCAGAUGUCUUUGACGCUGUGCCAUGAAAGUAGCUCAACAUCAAAUUGAAGAGUAGCAUUCGGUGGAAUUGUUGGAGGAGAGCCGGACUCUCCAUAGGCCAAUUCAGGAGGUAUCGUGAAAACUGCACUUUCACCCUUUUUCAUUGUUCUAAUACCUUCAUCCCAUCCUUUAAUCACUUGCCCUUCCCCGAGCUUGAACUUGAAGGGCGUUCCUCGGUCACGGCUCGAAUCGAAUUGAGUUCCAUCAAGAAGGGUUCCCGUAUAAUGCACUUCGACUUCAUCACCAGUCUCGGGAGUUUCCCAUCCUUCGCCUUCUUUAACAAGUUUCUUCUUCAGCCCAUUCUUUCCAAUCUCCUUCUCUUCGCCAACCUUCAGAACUGAGCUCUCCGCUUCGUCCUCAGGCAAGCCCAUUUCCUCGUCUACAUUGCUUGCAGACGGGAACUCGAAAUCGUCCUCCAUAGCGGGAAGAAUCGGUAAGAAAUGAAAGAGUGAGAGAAACAGACGAAAAGGGUAUACAAUUCAAGCAAGAAAACGGAUAGCGAG